This 465-nucleotide ribosomal RNA is filed under the name Vreelandella stevensii. RNAcentral describes it as "partial 16S ribosomal RNA". It matches the Rfam family "Bacterial small subunit ribosomal RNA", at positions 338 to 795 of the family's 1533-position model. Lineage: Bacteria; Pseudomonadati; Pseudomonadota; Gammaproteobacteria; Oceanospirillales; Halomonadaceae. The record is from RNAcentral.
CCUACGGGGGGCUGCAGUGGGGAAUAUUGGACAAUGGGCGAAAGCCUGAUCCAGCCAUGCCGCGUGUGUGAAGAAGGCCUACGGGUUGUAAAGCACUUUCAGUGGGGAAGAAAGCCUUGGGGCUAAUACCCUCGAGGAAGGACAUCACCCACAGAAGAAGCACCGGCUAACUCCGUGCCAGCAGCCGCGGUAAUACGGAGGGUGCGAGCGUUAAUCGGAAUUACUGGGCGUAAAGCGCGCGUAGGCGGUCUGAUAAGCCGGUUGUGAAAGCCCCGGGCUCAACCUGGGAACGGCAUCCGGAACUGUCAGGCUAGAGUGCAGGAGAGGAAGGUAGAAUUCCCGGUGUAGCGGUGAAAUGCGUAGAGAUCGGGAGGAAUACCAGUGGCGAAGGCGGCCUUCUGGACUGACACUGACGCUGAGGUGCGAAAGCGUGGGUAGCAAACAGGAUUAGAUACCCCUGUAGUC